AUGCACCGUGCACCUACCGCAGGGCAGCUGUCAGCCUGGCACGUACGACUCCCAACCCGAAACAAGAUGUUCGUGCGGUCGUGCUCCCUUUCUUCUUGGUCGGCGGCGGGAGCAGCAGCAGUAGCCGCGCGCGCCCCGGCGAGCCCUCCUCCUCUCCCCUCCUCCCCGGCCACGCCGCCGCCCAAGCCCGGGUCCAGGUCCAUGGCCACCUCCGGCGCCGGCGCCGGAGCCGGCCGGGUCCGCCUCGCGGUCGUCGGCGAUGUGCAUGAUGAUUGGAUCCUUGAUGAAGAUACAAAGGCACUCCAUUUUCUUCAGCCAGAUCUGGUGCUUUUUACAGGUGAUUAUGGCAACGAGAAUGUCCAACUUGUCAAAAGCAUUUCGGAUCUUCAGUUUCCGAAGGCGGCAAUUCUUGGUAAUCAUGAUUGCUGGCGUACACAUCAAUUUUCAGAGAAGAAGGUAGAUCGUGUCCGGCUUCAGCUUGAAAGCCUUGGUGAGCAGCAUGCUGGAUAUCAAUGUUUGGAUUUUCCAACAAUAAAGUUGAGUGUUGUUGGUGGGCGACCAUUUUCUUGUGGGGGUGACAGGUUAUUUAGACCAAAGCUUCUGUCACAACGGUAUGGUGUCGAUGAUAUGUCAGGAAGUGUGAGGAAGAUAUACGAUGCUGCUACGGCUGCACCAGAGGAGCAUUCUGUCAUACUACUUGCACAUAAUGGACCAACAGGUCUAGGUUCAAGAAUCGAUGAUAUCUGCGGGCGGGAUUGGGUAGCUGGCGGUGGCGAUCAUGGCGAUCCAGAUCUGGAACAGGCGAUAUCCGACCUGCAAAGGGAAACCGGGGUUUCGAUCCCGCUGGUCGUGUUUGGGCACAUGCACAAGAGCUUAGCCUACGGGGGAGGCCUUAGGAAGAUGAUCGCCUUCGGAGCCAACAACCAGACCAUAUAUCUGAACGGAGCGGUCGUGCCUAGGGUGAAGCCUGCAGAAGCAAUGAGCCCCUCCACGAUCUCCACCAGCGAAAGAGACGAGCUCCAAGAAUCGGCAUCUGUGGGGCCCAUGUCACGGGCGUUCACCACUGUCGACCUCUUCGACGGCACCGUCGAGAAGAUCUCUGAGGUCUGGGUUCUUGUGAGCGGGGCCCAGGCUGAGCUCGAGGAGGAGACUGUCCUGUACAAGCGUCCUCGUGAGCAUAUGUGA
This 1185-nucleotide ribosomal RNA is filed under the name Triticum aestivum (bread wheat). RNAcentral's name for it is "partial small subunit ribosomal RNA". Lineage: Eukaryota; Viridiplantae; Streptophyta; Magnoliopsida; Poales; Poaceae. The record is from RNAcentral.